RNAcentral lists this ribosomal RNA (460 nucleotides) under uncultured bacterium. Its description in RNAcentral is "partial 16S ribosomal RNA". It matches the Rfam family "Bacterial small subunit ribosomal RNA", at positions 338 to 795 of the family's 1533-position model. The record is from RNAcentral.
CCUACGGGAGGCAGCAGUGAGGAAUAUUGGUCAAUGGACGAGAGUCUGAACCAGCCAAGUAGCGUGAAGGAUGACUGCCCUAUGGGUUGUAAACUUCUUUUAUAUGGGAAUAAAACGUUCCACGUGUGGGUUUUCGUAUGUACCCUAUGAAUAAGGAUCGGCUAACUCCGUGCCAGCAGCCGCGGUAAUACGGAGGAUCCGAGCGUUAUCUGGAUUUAUUGGGUUUAAAGGGAGCGUAGGUGGAUAGUUAAGUCAGUUGUGAAAGUUUGCGGGUCAACCGUAACAGAGCAGUUGAAACUGGCAGUCUUGAGCACAGGAGAGGUGGGCGGAAUUCGUGGUGUAGCGGUGAAAUGCAUAGAUAUCACGAAGAACUCCGAUUGCGAAGGCAGUACACUGGAGUGCAACUGACACUGAGGCUCGAAAGUGUGGGUAUCGAACAGGAUUAGAUACCCGAGUAGUC